UGUUCCCCGCAGUGGAAGUGGUUGACGUGGUCAGAAAUGUUUCUAGGUGUGUUUCUGUGGGGAGUCAUUUAUCAGAUGCACACAGGAACCACAAUUUGUGGUCUACAUUCAGAUUUUCUAUUUUGAUUUGGCUUCAGCAUGUCAAUUUGUCAAGUGUGAGGGCAAAGUUGGAUAGAGUCCAAGUGCUGCAGCUGUGACGGACUGAGAGGUUGACUGCACAUGGGUUUGUGACUAAAAGCUUUUCCACAAUGAAGACUGAUCUUGGACAGGACAUGAGUGGGAUUAAAAGACACUUUGGCCACCACAGCAAGGAUGAAUAAAUUCCUACUUGUCUCCAGGACACCUAAGAGGACACUUCGGGUUAUUGGUUUUGGAAUGAUCCCCAGCUCCUCUCAACGGCCAUUAAUGAGAAGCUGUAAAACAAAUGGAAAAGAGAAGAGUGAGAAUGUAAAUACGUUUCUUCGCUGCAAAGGUCGUCACCUUUCUCUGUUUUUGUUAGUCAGUUAUUGCAAGAUGAGGCAGGGUUCUCAGUUUGACUAGUGCUGGCAAGAAAUAAAUUAAUAGAUGUUGAUACUUUCAAGUUCAGUAUGUACUAGUGUGUACUGUUUCCAAGAUAUAGCCACAGCUUUACCUUUUCCCGCCUACUCUGCUUUUAUAUAUUUAUUAGUAACUGCCAGCAAUUGAAAUGGAAGCAUUGCAAAGUUGGACAGUGCACUAUUAUUUGUUUGACCAAGUGAAGGUUGCUGAAAGCUGCCCUAAUAAUUAUUAUUUUUUUAUUAACAAUGGCUCAAAUAAUGAUGUGUAAUAUAAAAGGGGUACCAACAGGAAUUAUCACCACGCUCAGCUCUAUGAAGCAUUUUAGCGUCCUUCAGCUUGCUGUUUUGGUGUUACGGCCCGCGACUUUACUGUUUUGGUUCAGUCUCACUACUCUCGUCAACCUAAUUUCCAGCAGCAGCAGGCAGCUAUUUUCAGCAAAAAGGCUCUGAUAAACCAACUGUACACUACUUACCCAUCACCAUAUGUAAGACAGACAAAGUUAGUGAGUAGCCGGUGAACAUAGUGGCGCAUUUAGCUGCUAAAGAGCCAGAAGUUGAAGACCAAACAGUAGCUAAAAAGAGAGUGAAUAUUGGACUUAGAUUUGUCAGGUGACCUGAAACACAACUACAAAUUAAUGCUAGAUAGCAACUAGCUAAAAAGGAGAGUGAACUGAGUGAAUUGAACUUACAUUCAUCAGGUGGACACAAACACAACUCCAAAUGAAUGCUAAUGUUGCUCUGUGUCUGCUGAAUGAGUAAAUAGGCACUCUUGAGGACUAAAAGGUGCCCAAAGCCUUAGACUCAAAAAUGUGGAUUGCGUGCAAUGUGGAUUCAAACAUGAUUUUCCCAAACUUUAAAUAAUUACUUUCAUGAGGCACUAGGUGAGUUUGCAUGUUUGCGGUUUUAGACAGUGGUGACAAAAACAUAUGAAAACUGUUUGAACUUCAAUAGUGAUAAAUCAUAUAAUGUGACGGUAGUAAGCUGUUCAUGUUUACCCAGCCAGCCAGUCUGCGAUCACUUUAUACCAAAGGAUACCAGAGAGAUGAGAGAAGCCAAAGAUCUAAUGUUACAGAAGCCGGCUGUCUUCUGGACAGAGUGUUUGCAGUUUGUAUUUGUAUCAGAUCAUCAGUCUGUUUGGGUGGAGUUUUCAGCAAAUCUCUAACGUGUCAGUUAGGGGGAACGAGACACAGCGCUUGAGGCAGCCACUGUUUUUGAUUUAUGCUAAUAAAAUGGGCUCAUUCUUACAUUAAAAUCUCAGACAAAAAAUGACAAUUGUUGUCUUUCCCCGGGGCCCCAAAUAAAGAUUCUUGUCAUCCUUUUGGGCUGAAGAAUCCAACUACCUUCACAUUUUAAACAAAAUACUUUUCCUGUUCAUACAUUAACUUAUUUUAUUAUAUCUCCUUGCUUGUUUUUCCAAACCUGACUGUAACAGCGUGUGAGUAUAACCAAGCUCCAGAAAUCACAGGCAACCUGUGGAUUCCCAUAGCCUGACAGCCCCAUCGCGCAUAUGCUACCUGGGAUACCACAUAACCACAAAAACACAAGACGCUGUGUGUAUGUGUGUGUGUGUGAGAGAGAGAGCAAAUGAGAAACAGGCUGAAGAGACAAGCACAUUUUACUUAACCCAUGUGCUUUAAUCCCCAGGUCUGCACGUUGUCGACUAAAUGGCAUUUGUUUUGAUCUGCGCGUAAGCAAAUCAAUAUGCUGUGUCUAAUAUUUGCCAUUUUUCAGCAGACUGGACUGGUUCACACAAUGCUCUGCUGAACCAACACACGUGGGAUUCAAGGGGGACAGAAAAGGCAGGAAUGCCUUCACGUGCAUAUAUAUCUCAGUUUAUGAGAAACACAUGCCUGCUAUAGCUUUGAAUGGAGAUAUUGCAUGAUUUUUUUUAAAAUAAUAACUUUGCCAUACUGUAUGGAAGUGGCUUGAUUUGAUUAAAAUACUGCCACAGUUGAAACAUUUUUUAAGCUGGACUUACAAAAAAAAGAAAUUAAGUGAUGCAAGAUUAUGACAUAUGUCUUUUAUGUUAUCCAAGCUGUGGUUAAACCUGGUCAGAGUCCUACAGUGUGCGUCUGGCCCCUGUCUUUCACUGUGCCUUCGCAGCUUGGAGCCAGGUCUGCUAUGAGGAUUGUCGGCUCGGAUCUGCUGUGCUGUAGCAUUCCCCAGACUGCACACACACUGAGGCUGCAGAGUGGGUCAGUAGGACAAUGAUGUGUGUGUGUCCGUUUGUCUGGGUUUCAGUUUUAUUUUGAUCUAUAACCCUACUGGGGAUCUGAUGUCCAGAAUGGAUGAUUGCACAGUUGGCAAUACUUUUAAUGGGGAUUUUUUCAUUGGGCUGCAUGAUGUGAAAUAGAAAAAGAAGCGAAACUAUUCAACAACAUCCAUAAAAACAUUCACAUACACAUAAACUGACUUUAAUCCCUAGACCACUAUAUAUCAUAUCUCCAUGCUGUAAUCUUCCUUUUAUGGCAUGUUGUCCAAAGAGCCUCUCAGGUACAUGCACAUUCCACAUUAAGCCAUGCAGUAUCACAUAUAUCUUAAAACUGAGUAAUGCUCAGAGACAUUUGAGGCUCCAGCAGUGAAUCGGCAAGCAAACCGAUACACUCGGCUGACAAUCCCUUAUGCCAAUUUGGCAACCGUUCAGUGUAUUAAUUUACAGCAAAACUUUCCAUGAGGUGGAAUAAGAUGCCAUUUGGAUACGGCAGAGGCAGUGCAGCAGUCUGAUGGAAGAGGGCAAUGUAUGAACAUUUUCCCACAUGACAGUACAUUUUGUAAUGUGACAGCAUUACAUUCUAGCUGUGGUUUUUGUGCUGGACUGUGGGUCGACUGCAUUGUCCUGUGGUCACUGACUAAAUGCCACAUGUCUGGGGAAAAUAUAUGCGAGAGGAAAUGUGACUGCCUUGAAUCAUCAUCUUCCAUAAAGAAAUCCCCCACCAUGUUAUGUCCUCUUUUACGAAAAUUUAAAUGUUUUGAUUUAGAAAAAUUACUCAAGAAAUACAAUGUCUUAUUUUGCAUUUAUAAUGUAAAAAUUAUGCCCUCUUUAGGACUGUCUUCUUUUAAGAAUGCAAUGUCUUCUCUUGGGAAAAUAACGCCCUGUCUUUGGAAAAAUAAUCCCCUGUUUUCAAAUGCUUCCACAGCAAGCCAGUCGUACACGGAAACAAAGGAAGCUGACACUUGAAAGGACAUAAAUCACUUCAGCUUUGCCAAAAAGUUUAAAACAACUCAGCCGAGUGAUGCUGACAAAGCGCUUGAAAAGUGCCUGUUGGUUAUGUACGCCAUUUCUGUGUUUGUGUAUCCACGUGCGUCAGAACUGACCUCUGUUCCCUUUCAACAAAUUCAAAGUGAAUGUCAUGUCUUUAUCAGCCUGUCCAUGAAAUGAGCUACUUUUGUUGCUUGUAUUCAUUAUUCAUAUCAGUUGUUUUUAUUAAAUUCUGCUGUGCCAUAAAGCUAUAAAAGAUAUGAUAUAAAGAUAUGCAACCAUUUUGAGUGUUUGUGUGUGUGUGUGUGUGUGUGUGUGUGUGUGUGUAUGAUAUGUGCAUGUUUCUUUAACAUUGUACUAUACAUGAAAUGAUCCAGACUGAAACAUGAGAAAGUGGUCAUGUGAAGGAAAC
Siniperca chuatsi (mandarin fish) is the source of this 4147-nucleotide long non-coding RNA. RefSeq lists it as uncharacterized. Lineage: Eukaryota; Metazoa; Chordata; Actinopteri; Centrarchiformes; Sinipercidae. The transcript is spliced from 3 exons. The record is from RefSeq and is a predicted model, not a curated record.